GUCGCUUAUAUAUUUGGAAUAUGAUGUCGUAUUGUUUAUACGCUUUAAAAAUUUACAACUGCGUAACAAAAUACUUUACGUUGUAAGAGUUAUCUCCCCAAACACCGUUUUUCUUGUGGCCACUACUCCUUCGCAACCGUAAAGGAUUACGACAAAUUUAUUUUAUCAAAUUGCUCGUUACUUCUUCAGGAUUAGGAUAUUCAUUUGGACUGAAGCUAUCCGGAGACUCCAUAUGAGAGUUAUUUCCCCUUAUGCAUUUGAUAUAAGUGAUAUGCGUUUCUAACUGAUAAACCAUCAGUGAUAUAGGCCUAGGGUCUUUGGAAUUAAGUCCCUUGGUCCAAAAAAAUGAAAAUAAGGUCAAGGUCAAAGGUCAAAGUCAUAUUCUAAAUUUUGAUUUUGGCUUAUUUUUUCUCAUUUUCAACAACCGUGAAAGAUAAUGACAAAUUAUUUUUACUAAAUUGUGAGUUGCGACAUGUUGUAACUUAUAAAUUUUGGUUGGAAGGGUGCGUAAACAAUAAAUGAUAGUUUUCGCCCAUCUUAUAUUUAAAAUCAUGCCUAAAGUGAUAUAACUCAUUAACCAUACAUAUUACAGACCUAGGGUCUUUUGAUUUAAGGUCCUUGGUUUGUGACCUUGAAAUUGAGGUCAAGGUUAUAGGUUAAAAGGACGUUCUAGAUUUUGACCUUUGCUUUGAAUUCAUAUAAAUACAUCAUAAAGCCAUAGAGACUAACAUUUUAAACUGAUUUUUCAUAUUUCAAUAUCAAAAUAGAUCUUUACUAGUGGAAAGACCUUCAAUUGUUCUCUGAACAAUUGGUUUUU
RNAcentral lists this long non-coding RNA (817 nucleotides) under Mytilus galloprovincialis (Mediterranean mussel). Lineage: Eukaryota; Metazoa; Mollusca; Bivalvia; Mytilida; Mytilidae. The record is from RNAcentral.